CCGAACCGACUAAUGUUGAAAAAUUAGCGGAUGACCUGUGGCUGGGGGUGAAAGGCCAAUCAAACCGGGAGAUAGCUGGUUCUCCCCGAAAGCUAUUUAGGUAGCGCCUCGUGAAUUCAUCUCCGGGGGUAGAGCACUGUUUCGGCUAGGGGGCCAUCCCGGCUUACCAACCCGAUGCAAACUGCGAAUACCGGAGAAUGUUAUCACGGGAGACACACGGCGGGUGCUAACGUCCGUCGUGAAGAGGGAAACAACCCAGACCGCCAGCUAAGGUCCCAAAGUCAUGGUUAAGUGGGAAACGAUGUGGGAAGGCCCAGACAGCCAGGAUGUUGGCUUAGAAGCAGCCAUCAUUUAAAGAAAGCGUAAUAGCUCACUGGUCGAGUCGGCCUGCGCGGAAGAUGUAACGGGGCUAAACCAUGCACCGAAGCUGCGGCAGCG
RNAcentral lists this ribosomal RNA (438 nucleotides) under Salmonella enterica. RNAcentral's name for it is "partial 23S ribosomal RNA". It matches the Rfam family "Bacterial large subunit ribosomal RNA", at positions 774 to 1210 of the family's 2925-position model. The record is from RNAcentral. RNAcentral also lists the same sequence under 2 other names. Lineage: Bacteria; Pseudomonadati; Pseudomonadota; Gammaproteobacteria; Enterobacterales; Enterobacteriaceae.